GAGUAACGCGUGAGAAUCUGGCUUAAGGACGGGGAUAACCACUGGAAACGGUGGCUAAGACCCGAUAUGCCGAGAGGUGAAAGUAAUUUAGCCUUGAGGGGAGCUCGCGUCUGAUUAGCUAGUUGGUGGGGUAAGAGCCUACCAAGGCGACGAUCAGUAGCUGGUCUGAGAGGAUGAUCAGCCACACUGGGACUGAGACACGGCCCAGACUCCUACGGGAGGCAGCAGUGGGGAAUUUUCCGCAAUGGGCGAAAGCCUGACGGAGCAAUACCGCGUGGGGGAGGAAGGCUCUUGGGUUGUAAACUCCUUUUCUCAGGGAAGAAAAAAAUGACGGUACCUGAGGAAUCAGCAUCGGCUAACUCCGUGCCAGCAGCCGCGGUAAUACGGAGGAUGCAAGCGUUAUCCGGAAUCAUUGGGCGUAAAGCGUCCGCAGGUGGCAUUUCAAGUCUGCUGUCAAAGGUCGGGGCUUAACUCCGAACAGGCAGUGGAAACUGAGAAGCUAGAGUAUGGUAGGGGCAGAGGGAAUUCCUGGUGUAGCGGUGAAAUGCGUAGAGAUCAGGAAGAACACCGGUGGCGAAAGCGCUCUGCUAGGCCAUAACUGACGCUCAGGGACGAAAGCUAGGGGAGCGAAUGGGAUUAGAUACCCCAGAAGUCACGCGUUA
This 662-nucleotide ribosomal RNA is filed under the name Gloeocapsa thermalis PUPCCC 008.4. RNAcentral describes it as "bacterial SSU rRNA". It matches the Rfam family "Bacterial small subunit ribosomal RNA", at positions 108 to 804 of the family's 1533-position model. The record is from RNAcentral. Lineage: Bacteria; Bacillati; Cyanobacteriota; Cyanophyceae; Chroococcidiopsidales; Chroococcidiopsidaceae.